RNAcentral lists this unclassified non-coding RNA (555 nucleotides) under Hevea brasiliensis (rubber tree). Lineage: Eukaryota; Viridiplantae; Streptophyta; Magnoliopsida; Malpighiales; Euphorbiaceae. The record is from RNAcentral.
GGCAAGCAUGAUAGGAAAGGAGUUCUACACUUACAAAGUUAUGAGAGCGAACGUUCUGCUACUAGCAGAAUGAGAGUAGCAGAAUGAGAGUGAACAAGACUCAAAUAUAUUCUUAGAAUCACAUAGUAUUUUUCAUUUCAUAAGUUAAAAAAUUGAUUUUAAAAAUCAGGUUCUUGCACCAUGCAGCCAUCUGUUCUUUUAUGCAGGAUCAUACCUUUCCUAAACUAAUCCAUGUAUCACUAAAAGAAGCCAAAAUAAUGACAUUUGCCAUAUUUUGAGCUAGACUAAUUGACACCACUAAUCUUCAACAACUUCUAGUCAAGGCUGUUGUUUUAAUGAUGGUAUAGCACAAUUUCAGCUUUUGUUUCAGAGAAAAUACUAAUAACAGCAUGCGUCACAUUAUAGAUUUUCUGAGAUUUCUGAGAUUGAGAAAUGAAUUACUACUGUUUUUAUCUCUUUGAGUGGACAAACUCUUAAGAAUCAGAUAUUAUGGAAAAAGCAAAAUGUAAACAAUACCAUUUCCACUCUUGUUCAAGAUAAAGCAGCAACUCAUCA